This 101-nucleotide non-coding RNA is filed under the name Paracoccaceae bacterium. Its description in RNAcentral is "Rhodobacteraceae bacterium TPP sequence". It matches the Rfam family "TPP riboswitch aptamer (THI element)". From Rfam's summary of the family: Vitamin B(1) in its active form thiamin pyrophosphate (TPP) is an essential coenzyme that is synthesised by coupling of pyrimidine and thiazole moieties in bacteria. The previously detected thiamin-regulatory element, thi box was extended, resulting in a new, highly conserved RNA secondary structure, the THI element, which is widely distributed in eubacteria and also occurs in some archaea. Lineage: Bacteria; Pseudomonadati; Pseudomonadota; Alphaproteobacteria; Rhodobacterales; Paracoccaceae. The record is from RNAcentral.
CCCGGUACCUCGGGGUGCCCUGGAUGGGGCUGAGAUGCGCAAGCGAACCCGUUGAACCUGAACCGGUUAGAACCGGCGGAGGGAAGGUGAUGGAUGAUCCU